UACGAAGGGUGCAAGCGUUACUCGGAAUUACUGGGCGUAAAGCGUGCGUAGGUGGUGAGUUAAGUCUGUCGUGAAAGCCCCGGGCUCAACCUGGGAAUGGCGAUGGAUACUGGCUCGCUAGAGUGCGGUAGAGGAGAGUGAAAUUCCCGGUGUAGCAGUGAAAUGCGUAGAGAUCGGGAGGAACAUCAGUUGCGAAGGCGGCUCUCUGGACCAGCACUGACACUGAGGCACGAAAGCGUGGGGAGCAAACAGG
RNAcentral lists this ribosomal RNA (253 nucleotides) under uncultured bacterium. Its description in RNAcentral is "partial 16S ribosomal RNA". It matches the Rfam family "Bacterial small subunit ribosomal RNA", at positions 524 to 776 of the family's 1533-position model. The record is from RNAcentral.